GCCAGAGUGGUGUAGUGGUUUGGGUGUUGGACUACAACUCUGAAACCAGGGUUCAAUUUCCAGCUUGGCCA
Non-coding RNA from Phrynosoma platyrhinos (Desert horned lizard), 71 nucleotides. The record is from the annotation of a GenBank genome assembly. NCBI's taxonomy places the organism in Eukaryota, Metazoa, Chordata, Lepidosauria, Squamata, Phrynosomatidae.